CGCUCACUUUGUAAAGACUGUCUCUAUCUUCUUUUUCAAUAAGAAUUCUCAGCUGGAAGUCAGUCUGACCUCUGUCAAAGAUUGUUCAUUGAGAACCGUAGGCAGGAUGGUAGAGCCCAUCCUUGGGCAUUUCUAGCUCACUGUUGUGCUACCUUGGUGAGAGAACCGGAGCACGAUAACUACAGAGUGAUGGGCUUGGAGAAUGGACAGGCUUUGAGAUGGAGAACACCAACACGGCAACGUGCAGGGUUCUGAUGGAGUUUUAGUUGUGCAGGUUUUUGCCUAGUGAAGUUGUGGAUGCCCAUCCCUGGAGUUGCUCAAGGCCAGGUUGGAUGGGGUCACGGGCAGCCUGAUCUGGUGCCUGUGUAGUGGUUGGAAACCCUGCCUGUGGCAGGGGGGUUGGAACUAGGGUAUCUUUGAGGUUCCUUCCAGCCCAAUGGAGUGGUUUGGAUUCUGUGAUUCUGUGAAGGCUCUUCCUGCAACACAGACAGCACUCAGCUGCUCACCCAGGUUCUUCUUGCUCAAGGGGCAGAGGGCUGCUUUUCCAUGAGCAUAAGGGCUGUUGUUCCUGAGUUCUGUGUAGCCAUGGUGAGCUCUGUGGUCAUGUAAACAUUACACAAUGGAGAUCCCCCGCUGGCUGAGGGCAGCAGAGGCACUACAGGGCUCCUCCUCUUUGGAUUGCUCUUCCUAGGGGAGUGCAGCACUUCAUGAAAUCACGACAGCAAGCUCUGGAGGUGCCAGCAAGCCUGCAGCCCUCUCAGCAUUACGCUUGCAUUGCUGAGAAGAUGGGUCACAUUUCUGGGAAUCCACCCUGACCUCCUCUGGUGAUGCUCUCUGAGGAUAGAGACAGGGAACAAAUAGAUGCUUCUUACCCAGCUGCUGGUUCCACUUGAGGAACUUCACAACUCUGGGUGAUUAACAAGCUCCUGGAUGCUUGCAUGUGGGGCCUUCCCUUCUGGACAGACCUCCAGGAGAUACGGUCAGGACAAGGUGAUGGUGUGGGCAGCACCUGCUGGGGGUAAUGGGGCAGGAAGAAGGAGCAGAGAGAGCACUCUGGAUCUUCCCUCAUUCCUAAGGGUUGACAGCAGGACACAUAUCCAGCACAAGUCCUCGUUGUGCUCCUUGACUCGGGGGCAAUAUGGCUUACAGGAAGAAAAAAAUAUAGGCAGACAUCUUUAGCCCUUCGCGAGAAGAUAGCUGCUGGCUGGCCUGGUGGGAAGCGAUGUGCCAGGGAGAAGUAAAAUGAGAUGAAAGCUCUGCCAGCAUGUCACCACGAGUGCUUCUGUAGAAACAGUACGAGUACGAUGAGCAAACCUUUGACCGCCUAUUGGAAACAGAUUUUUCUCGACACAGAAGCAAUCCCUUUGGAACGAGAGCCCUGACCAAAGCUGGGCGUCAGAGAAGGGCUUACAGCGAGUUGUGGGGAGGAAGGAAACCCGCCAGUGGGACAGACAGCAUUGCCUUUUGUUUUAGUUUGUAGCGCUGAUUGUUGACUCCUUUUUGAUUUCACAAGAAUCUCUGGAUUUUGUCAACUUCCUUCAGAGAUUUUGCUGGGAAAAAAAAUGGUAACUGUGCUUAAUGUUCUCCUUUCUCAACAAAACCACUCAACUUUUUCAUUCAAAUCAAAAUUUUCCAUGGACAGCAAUGCGUGUUCCCCAACCAGCAGCAUAAACACAUUGGGCACUGCAUUACUCUCUAGAUAUUUGUAUUCCAGCAGCAAGAACUCAGGUCAGAGUCUUUUUCUGCUGGACCUCACGAAGCAAGAGACAACCUUACUCUGAAGACUUUGUAAUCAGAAUGGAAAAGACAGAGGACAAAAGAAAUGAAGGAAAAAAAAAUACUAUAAAUAUGCUUUAACAGAUGGAGCACUGAGGUGGCAGAAGAUGAAGUGAUUCUUUUGACGUCAUAAUCAUAGGAAAUCUAAGCCAAAAUGAAGAACUAAAUCCAUCCCUCUUGGAAGGCUCAGCACAUAUCUUUAACCACAGUCCAUCCUUUCCCUCCAGUGCUGUUGAGUUCUUUGUUGUUUGCGAGGGGAUGGCACUUGGCACAGUGCUACUUGCUGAGGAUCUGUCACCUUACAGGGACAUAUCUUGGGUGAUUCAUCAAGUAUGCCUGAUGACCACUUGUUCACAUCAGCUCCUCCUGGGGAAACCCAGCACCUGGGUGAAACUUUACUUUC
RNAcentral lists this long non-coding RNA (2179 nucleotides) under Phasianus colchicus (ring-necked pheasant). RNAcentral's name for it is "lncRNA (ENSPCLG00000011995.1)". Lineage: Eukaryota; Metazoa; Chordata; Aves; Galliformes; Phasianidae. The record is from RNAcentral.